AGAAAGCCCGAACCCCCAGGUCUUGAGCCAUGUCCAGGGUUUCACGGUAUGUCCACACACGGGAUUUCACUGCAGCCUUGAUGGGUUGAAGCCAUCUGCGGCCCUACGAGUGCAGUGGUGCUCAUUGACGCCAGAGGAAAGGGUCACAGCCAGCGCCUUGAGUGGCCCUCCCGGCCUACUGCGGGAAACAGCCUAGAGUUUGCCC
RNAcentral lists this long non-coding RNA (205 nucleotides) under Delphinapterus leucas (beluga whale). RNAcentral describes it as "lncRNA (ENSDLEG00000019892.1)". The record is from RNAcentral. Lineage: Eukaryota; Metazoa; Chordata; Mammalia; Artiodactyla; Monodontidae.